AAGAAGCCUGUUGGUGCAUUCUUGGCAUCUGUGCUCCUAGAUUCUACCAAAGCGUCAAUGUGAGCCACCUCUUUCUCCUUUCAGGGAUCCUUCCUCUGUACCCAGAAUGAUAAAAGCCCUGAAUAUCAGCAAUGUGAGUGAAAAGCUAUAAAAAUGAGUGAAAUACUUCUAGCAUACAUUAACAGGAAAAUUGAGCUGGCUCCACAGAGAUAUCACAGCUAUUAGGGGGACAAUCAGCUCACGGGUAGCUCUGUGAAUGGCGCUCACACAGACACAUCUGCUGCUCUGACUUGCACAGCUCCUUGGCUCCAUCCUGGCUCAGAAGCUCAGUCACAGGGUUCUAAAUAGGAGCUGAACCAACUGGGACUUCCUGCGUCAAGCGACUUUGUUUGGAAUUGUUUUGCUUCUGCAACGCCCCCUUAAUCAAGUAAUG
This is a non-coding RNA of Peromyscus maniculatus bairdii (prairie deer mouse), 433 nucleotides long. The record is from RefSeq and is a predicted model, not a curated record. Lineage: Eukaryota; Metazoa; Chordata; Mammalia; Rodentia; Cricetidae.